This 1477-nucleotide ribosomal RNA is filed under the name uncultured Bordetella sp. RNAcentral describes it as "partial 16S-23S ribosomal RNA intergenic spacer". It matches the Rfam family "Bacterial small subunit ribosomal RNA". The record is from RNAcentral. Lineage: Bacteria; Pseudomonadati; Pseudomonadota; Betaproteobacteria; Burkholderiales; Alcaligenaceae.
GGUUCGAUUAUGGCUCAGAUUGAACGCUAGCGGGAUGCCUUACAUGCAAGUCGAACGGCAGCACGGACUUGGUCUGGUGGCGAGUGGCGAACGGGUGAGUAAUGUAUCGGAACGUGCCUAGUAGCGGGGGAUAACUACGCGAAAGCGUAGCCAAUACCGCAUACGCCCUUCGGGGGAAAGCGGGGGGACCUUUCGGGCCUCGCAAUUAUUAGAGCGGCCGAUAUCGGAUUAGCUAGUUGGUGGGGUAACGGCUCACCAAGGCGACGAUCCGUAGCUGGUUUGAGAGGACGACCAGCCACACACUAACCGAGACACGGCCCAGACUCCUAUGGAGGCAGCAGUGGGGAAUUUUGGACAAUGGGAAACCCUGAUCCAGCCAUCCCGCGUGUGCGAUGAAGGCCUUCGGGUUGUAAAAGCACUUUUUGGCAGGAAAGAAACGGCACGGGAUAAUACCCCGUGCAACUGACGGUACCUGCAGAAUAAGCACCGACUAACUACGUGCCAGCCGCGGUAAUACGUAGGGUGCAAGCGUUAAUCGGAAUUACUGGGCGUAAAGCGUGCGCAGGCGGUUCGAAAGAAAGAUGUGAAAUCCCAGAGCUUAACUUUGGAACUGUAUUUUUAACUACCGAGCUAGAGUGUGUCAGAGGAGGUGGAAUUCCGCGUGUAGCAGUGAAAUGCGUAGAUAUGCGGAGGAACACCGAUGGCGAAGGCAGCCUCCUGGGAUAACACUUGACGCUCAUGCACGAAAGCGUGGGAGCAAACAGGAUUAGAUACCCUGGUAGUCCACGCCCUAAACGAUGUCAACUAGCUGUUGGGGCCUUGGCCUUGGUAGCGUAGCUAACGCGUGAAGUUGACCGCCUGGGAGUACGGUCGCAAGAUUAAAACUCAAAGGAAUUGACGGGGACCCGCACGCGGUGGAUGAUGAUUAAUCUGAUGCAACGCGAAAAACCUUACCUACCCUGACAUGUCUGGAAUCCCGAAGAGAUUUGGGAGUGCUCGCAAGAGAACCGGAACACAGGUGCUGCAUGGCUGUCGUCAGCUCGUGUCGUGAGAUGUUGGGUUAUUUCGCAACGAGCGCAACCCUUUGUCAUUAGUUGCUACGAAAGGGCACUCUAAUGAGAUCGCUGCGACAAACCGGAGGAAGGUGGGGAUGACGUCAAGUCCUCAUGGCCCUUGCAUAUGGGCAGGGCUUCACACGUCAUACAAUGGUCGGGACAGAGGGGUCGCCAACCCGCGAGGGGGAGCCAAUCCCAGAAACCCGAUCGUAGUCCGGAUCGCAGUCUGCAACUCGACUGCGUGAAGUCGGAAUCGCUAGUAAUCGCGGAUCAGCAUGUCGCGGUGAAUACGUUCCCGGGUCUUGUACACACCGCCCGUCACACCAUGGGAGUGGGUUUUACCAGAAGUAGUUAGGCCUAACCGUGGUGAGGGCGAUUACCACGGUAGGAUUCAUGACUGGGUGAAGUCGUAACAAGGUAGC